UUCCUUUGAUUCUUCAAGAAUGUAAAGUAUCUUGAUGAACUUGAUUUUGAUUUGACUCAAGGGCUUAUAAAGCUUGAUCUUGAAUCUUCUUCUUGAACUGAAUUUGUGAUUGAUCACGAACAAGUAAUUUGAUCUUGAACGCCUUAGUGUUUGAUUUGGCUUCGUUCUUGAUCUUGAACUUGAACUUGUAGCUUGAGUGCUUCAACUUUUAGCUUGUAGAGAAAUCUGCGGUGCUUGUUCCACGAGCUCUGUGCUUGGUUCUGG
RNAcentral lists this long non-coding RNA (264 nucleotides) under Nicotiana benthamiana. RNAcentral describes it as "long non-coding RNA (NBEN_LNC007963)". Lineage: Eukaryota; Viridiplantae; Streptophyta; Magnoliopsida; Solanales; Solanaceae. The record is from RNAcentral.